UGCGUAGGCGGGCUAAUAAGUCAGUGGUGAAAUCUCUCGGCUCAACCGGGAAACUGCCAUUGAUACUGUCAGUCUUGAGUUCGGUUGAGGUAGGCGGAAUGUGUAAUGUAGCGGUGAAAUGCUUAGAUAUUACACAGAACACCAAUUGCGUAGGCAGCUUACUAGACCGACACUGACGCUGAGGCACGAAAGCGUGGGGAGCGAACAGGAUUAGAUACCCUGGUAGUCC
RNAcentral lists this ribosomal RNA (229 nucleotides) under uncultured bacterium. RNAcentral's name for it is "partial 16S ribosomal RNA". It matches the Rfam family "Bacterial small subunit ribosomal RNA", at positions 568 to 796 of the family's 1533-position model. The record is from RNAcentral.